Odocoileus virginianus texanus is the source of this 564-nucleotide non-coding RNA. Lineage: Eukaryota; Metazoa; Chordata; Mammalia; Artiodactyla; Cervidae. The record is from RefSeq and is a predicted model, not a curated record.
UUCGGUUGCGCGGAGACCGCAGCUGUUCCCUGUCAGUGGAGGCAGCGGCCGUACAGGCGGUGGCGACGACUUGCGGCGGCAGCGAGGAGAUGGAGAAGCUGAGGGCACGGAGCCCUCAGAUGCCUCGCGCGAGGUCCCUGAGGGUUCGAACCCAGGUCUGUCAGAAUCCGGAGCCCAAGUGUCCCCCGUCAUACUGGAAGUUGCUCAGCUCUGAAGAAAGCCGUGGCGUAUAGUGCCUGCCUUCUGAGAGCCGACAAACACUGAGGGUAAGUCCUGUGCCUGGAUCCAGGUCAGUGGGAUGUGCGUGGGUCGUCUCCAGGAGCAACCGCUGUAGAUGUCAGCAGCCCUGGCGCUCCGGUGAUCAAGCUCAGUCAAUAAAAAAGGCCAAGCAGUCCGAUUUUUGGAAAAUAUAAGCAGUCUUUGUCUAUUCCCAGCACUUUUGGUUUUCUUGGUUUUCACAAGACCACGGUGUCUGGCUCCCUGCUGGCCCCAGUUGGCAGCUAGCCCGCCUCAGCAGGAGGCCCAGCUUCUGGAAGGGUGUGGCUCAGCAGGCCCAUCAGGGGG